Mytilus californianus (California mussel) is the source of this 598-nucleotide long non-coding RNA. RefSeq lists it as uncharacterized. The transcript has 2 exons. The record is from RefSeq and is a predicted model, not a curated record. NCBI's taxonomy places the organism in Eukaryota, Metazoa, Mollusca, Bivalvia, Mytilida, Mytilidae.
AAAUCCGAAUAUCUUCAUGAACUUCAGAUUCGUACAAAGUGGCAAACUGACCGUCGUAAUCUACAAGUUGGUGACUUAAUUCUCAUGAAAGAUCAGGAUGCGCCACGUAAUUCAUGGCCCGUAGGACUUGUGGACAGGGUAUUUCCAAGCUCGGAUGGCAAAAUUCGUAAAGUGGAAGUCGCCAUCGUCAAAGACGGAAAGCGCACAACUUAUUCCAGACCAAUUACCGAAUUGGUUACUCUCCUUGAAGCUGACUGACUAUAAUAGUGACAUUGUGUUUUAUUCAAUCACAUUUAAUACACGAACAAUUAGUAUAACAUUGUUAGGGAAACACAUGUUAAUUUGUCAUAUGACAUUAUCUUUUAAUUUUGAAAAUGUAGUGAUUUCAUAAAGAAAUCAGAGGAGGAGUGUACUGUUUUGAUUAAGUGCCGAAUUGACCAUGUCGUCCCUUUCUUAUCAUUUCAUUCCCCAGUCUCUUCAAUCCCUCGAUUAUUGUCAAAACUGAAACACGUUGUUUUUCUACUUGGAAGUUUUAUCCACCACUAGAUUUUUCACCCUCUCCGGGGGUCUGUAUACCAAUAAACUGUUGAUCUCUCAA